GUGCAGGAGAGAGCUACAUCAGGUUACAUGUAGCCGCCGAAGGCGCAGAUGCCCUUAAAUCGCUCAGGCAACAGGGACUGCACGUU
This 86-nucleotide non-coding RNA is filed under the name Neisseria sicca. RNAcentral describes it as "Glycine riboswitch". It matches the Rfam family "Glycine riboswitch aptamer", at positions 8 to 90 of the family's 94-position model. Rfam says of the family: This family represents the bacterial glycine riboswitch. Glycine riboswitches usually consist of two metabolite-binding aptamers domains with similar structures in tandem. The record is from RNAcentral. Lineage: Bacteria; Pseudomonadati; Pseudomonadota; Betaproteobacteria; Neisseriales; Neisseriaceae.